CAGGACUGGGCUGACAUGCUUCUCAGGAUGUAUAUGAGAUGGGGAGAGAAACAGCGAUACAAGACGAGGGUAGUUGAAAAAUCCCCAGGGGAGGAAGCUGGAAUUAAGUCGGCUAUGAUUGAGGUUGAAGGCCGUUAUGCUUAUGGGUAUUUGUCAGGGGAGAAAGGAACACAUAGAAUUGUACGACAAUCUCCUUUUAAUGCUAAAGGUCUUCGUCAGGUAACUCUAUUGUGAUCCUCCUGUAAGUUUGUCCUUCUUCUUAGAGGAUUGCAUACUUGAAAAAGGAUCACUCCCUAGAACUAUUCUGCUGAAAUGUUAGAAAAUUUGAGCAAAGAGCACUUUUCUUGUUUAUGUAAUUAUGUUGUGGAUAGCUAAUGGCAACUUCUUAAAGUCAUACAUCUGACAAUUUUUUGCUUGCUAAUUGAUUUUACAUCAAUUAUCCAAACACUUACUGAAAGGGGGGGAUUUUUAUUGGAAAUGGGAUAUUUCUUAUAUAUUGGCACAGCUUGCCCUUCACUUGUUGAGAGAUGUUUCCUUCCCUACUUGUCCUGGUAGGCAUUAUGUAAUAAUUGAUACGAUAUCAUUGUCAUGUAAUGAAGACAUGAGGCCAACGUAAAAGUGUGUUUCUGUCAUAUUCUUUAAGUUAAUAAUGUAAGUAUUUAUCAUAAAAGCAUUAUGGAUGAUUAUGUAAUGCAAUGAGCAAGCACAUACAAAACGAACUUUGGUUUUCACCACACGAGGAAAUGUAUUGUUAGUGGAACGAUAUUAGCAAUCUAAAAAGUCUGCCAACAUCCCCUUCGUCAAUUCUCCAUUGCUUUUCUCACGCUUCUUUUAGGUGAGCUGCUCUCAAGAUACAUGCAUAUGUAAGUAUGUAGUCUAUUCAUGUUUUCAUGAUCUAUAAGUAAAGCUUGAAGCUGAUUCUUUUAACAAACUUCAAACAUCUGAAGAAAUGAUACUCUCCUUGGAAGCAAGUGAUUUAUGAUCGACAAUGUUGGAAUUCAGAAUGAAAUUUAAACAGUGGCAAAAGGCCAAUAAUAAUUGAAUAUUAUGCCAUAUGCUGAGGUUGGCCUACAAUUCAUCCCCCACAUACCCCAAAGGACAAUGUUUUACCACGAUAUUCUAACAUUAAGUUAUAUGUACAGACAAGCUUUUCUGGUGUUGAAGUAAUGCCUCUUCUUCCUGAAGAGUCUAUGGACGUUCAACUACCUGAGGAAGACCUGGAAAUCAGUUUUUCAAGGGCAGGUGGGAAAGGAGGCCAGAAUGUAAAUAAGGUUGAAACUGCUGUCAGGAUUACUCACAUCCCCACCGGUGUCACUGUUCGCUGCACAGGUAUGCAUGUAUGCUUGACUGCAUAAGUUCUUCAUUAUGGGAAUUCCUUUUAGAAGUUUUAGUCUUGGAGGGAAAUAGUGAAGUAUAUUACCAAAAGCAUUUGAAGCUUCAAUGGUGCACACAUUUAGUUUAAGAGGGGAAGAGGAGAGAAUUGGUAGAGAGGGGAAAAGAGGGUAGAGCGUCUCUUUCAUAAUUGUGGGGCCUACUGCCAAGGGCAGUAGAGAUUUGAGUGAAUAUCACCAUGGUGGUUCUGCAAUCUAAGUUUGGAGUUUUUUCUUCAAUGUUUCAGCUUCCAUCUGAACUUUAUCUCUAUCCGGCCUUUUUGGUCUACUUACCUGAACAGUGUCAAUUUUAGAACAGCUUUGUCAGGCUUUCCUCCUUUUUUUUUUACUGCAUUGCAGAAGAGAGAUCCCAGCUAGCAAACAAGAUCAAGGCUCUUAGCCGGUUAAAAGCAAAGCUAUUGGUCAUAGCCGAGGAGCAAAGGGCAUCUGAAAUCAAGCAAAUAAGGGGAGAUGCAGUGAAAGCUGAGUGGGGCCAACAGAUAAGAAACUAUGUAUUCCAUCCGUACAAACUUGUCAAGGACGUGAGGACAGGAUUUGAGACAUCAGAUAUUACCUCUGUGAUGGAUGGCGAAUUGGAGCCCUUCAUCAAAGCUUACCUCAAGUACAAAUACAACAUGACAUUGUCUGCUUCUGGGAUUAAUUGACAGACUUAUUCAUUUUAUUUACUCCGUGCUUAUAUUAUAUAUACAUAUGUGUGUAAAACGAAGCAGUUUAUCAUCAUAUUAUAGGAGUCCGAGAUGGCAAAACUAUAUUCUUUAGGAUUGUGUGCUUUUCAGAGUACAUAUUGGCUGCAGAUGAAGCAUCCGUUACUAGUACGAAAAUUAGGACAUUUCAAAAAAAAAAAAAUCUAUUUCCGUUCCUCAAAUAUUUAUCAUUGAAUGUUCAUCAUCCUCAGAUGAAGCCUGGGAUGGCAGCAACACAUCAAAUAGGGAGACAUGGCUCUAGGGGACUGGGGAAAAGAAGAGGCCAAAUUAUAUGCUAGUCCUCUUGAGGGAGAGGGGGGCAGAACAUUAAAGACCCUGUUAUCUUCUGUUUAAAAUUAUUUUAUGGGGGAAAACAAUGACUUAUGUGUCAUUUUUGUAGGCUGUAUUAUGUGAUAAUAAUAUUUUUUUCAUUUAAUUUAGUUAAAAUUCAAACUCAAUUUUUUUUUUCAAAAAA
This 2549-nucleotide unclassified non-coding RNA is filed under the name Hevea brasiliensis (rubber tree). Lineage: Eukaryota; Viridiplantae; Streptophyta; Magnoliopsida; Malpighiales; Euphorbiaceae. The record is from RNAcentral.